Nematostella vectensis (starlet sea anemone) is the source of this 470-nucleotide long non-coding RNA. RefSeq lists it as uncharacterized. The record is from RefSeq and is a predicted model, not a curated record. NCBI's taxonomy places the organism in Eukaryota, Metazoa, Cnidaria, Anthozoa, Actiniaria, Edwardsiidae. The transcript has 2 exons.
AACUGAAUAAAUAAGCAAAAUAAUCUUACCUUAAAAAAUCAGGAACUGAAUUUACCAUGUAUAUAUUGUCUUGUGUGUAUCUGUCAACGAAACUGCUGAACGGAAUAUCUUCACCUGGAUAUCGCUUUGCUCCCCCGGAAAACAAGACUGGUUUUGCGGGGAUCACAAAGUUUGUAAAGAACUCCUGGGGCGAAGGAAAUCCUUGAAAAACCUCCACCGAGUUGCGUCUACCAAAUGAGAAGAUCGGCUUAAGAUGUCCCUCGAGAUUUACAGCAUUCUCUGAUUUUAUUAGCGGGAAUAAAAGCGUGAUUCCUACUAAUAAACUCAUAGCAGACUUGGGUUUCAGCGCACAGAAGAAAGCCAUGAAUGCGUGUUUAGAAGUCAAACGGAAGUAAAUAAAACAGAACAGUGUCAAACUACCACAGGGGUACCACAACUGGAAGCUGAAUAAAAAAACAGGGUAAAAAAUA